UCUAAAUAACGAAAUUCUAACAGGGUCAACAUGCCUAUAUUUUGAUUAAUUGAACACAAGUGCUUGCUUUCCUCUUGCAUUUUGUUUUCGGUGACCGAAAGAUUCCACAUUUUUUAAGUGAAAAUUAUGCAACAUUUUUAAGAUUCUAUUUAUUUUGGAAGGAAAUCAAUUGACCACAUUUCUUUUGAUGCAGCCCAAUUUUACCUCCUGCGAAGCUAUCGUCCUAAAUAAUAUUAAAAACUCUUCCGUUUGAUUGCCGUCUUGAUUGAGAUUCAUUUUAUAUCGUUGUAGACAAUCAUUCAAAAAUAAACUCGACUUGUUUCAUGAAGUUACUGUUAUUUCAAGAGCUCAUCUUCCACCUUCCACUGUGCUGGGCCUAUGAUCCUAUUAUAGCACCACUUCAAAGUUUAUCUGGCUACCACAAACAGCAACAAUAUAAUAACUUCGAAUAGACUUUAGAGAAUAAGCAACAUUUUCUUUACCUUUUUUCAAAGAUGUGUUACACCCUUGCAAAUGUUUCCGUUUAUUUGUGGUUCUCCUAUUUUAUUGCCAUUGUGAUUUUAACUUACUUAUCACGAAACAUAAUUGGAAUGCUGAUUCAAUUCGUUUAUCUAAAAUAAUCAACUCAUGUUGGGUUCCUUAUGAUAAGGAUGUUACAGAAAAUGCAGAGAGCCAAUCGCCUCUGUUCCACCACUGGGAAUUCAAAUUAAGCAAGUGAGAGCACACAUCCGUGCCUGUCUCGUUGACUCUAAUCUAAAUAAUUAACAAGCUCUCAAUAUUCAUGUCAUGGUGUGCCAAACAUGUGAGGCAUUUUACCAAUAUGGUGUCUAUUUAUUGUCCAAUUACACACACCAAUUACAUGCAACUCGGAUCUUCUGAAAGCUAUUUUCUAACGAAUGUGUUAUGCAUGUCAACUUGUUUAGGCCUUUCUGUUCUGUGCAAAUAUGCUCGAAAUAUCAUUGCAAUUUUUCAUUUCAUAUACACGGGUGCACGAGUUUAAAUAAAUGCAUGCUUAGCAAUUUCAUAUUAAAUGAAAUUUGUUUUCAAACGUUUCUGAUUUCACAGAGAUAUUGGAGGAAAUUGUCCACCCUCCCAAACAAAUCAAGCAUAGUUUUUGUCAUAUUAAUGGAUAAUUAUUAAUAAUUCAUGACCAACAGCCUAUGUUUUCAAAUUAGAAAUGCAUGUUUUCAUAUGGGUGCAAACCAGUUAUAGCGGACGAAUAUUCUAUUUUGAACAGGGAACGGUGGCGAAUUAAAAUACUUCAAUUCUUCCCUAGAUUUUUACCAACGUGUCAAUUUGAAUUACAGUAUUUAAAAAGCUACGAAUGUAUUAACACUUUCAACACUGUUACAUUGAAGUCAAGGCUAUUAAUUAGCAUGUUACAAUAGCGUAAUUGACGACCUUACUUAACAUUAAGAGGCCUACUUUUUGGUAAAAUACAAUAUUCCCAUAAAUUCAAUUGGCUAACAAUAAACAGAUAACUAUUGAGCAGUCCUGCAUUCCCAUUCAGCAAUGUAAAGGUGCAUACCUUCCUUUUGAUGGCUCUACUGUAUAUUAUACAAGUCAUGCUGCUAUUGUCAUAAACAGUUAAAUGUCAAAGAGAAUGGCAAGCCCUCUUGAAUUGUCUGGAUAGUAGGAAUAGACAAUGAAUAAUCUCAGACAAACUUGUUCAUUCAGAUCAAUUCCAAUUAUUCUCCUUUCUCACACAAAAAAAACGUUGACCAAACCACUUUGAGCCAGUGGGAGGCUUCUGACCAAUCCUGACACAGGGGCUGCAGCAAGAGGUCAUAUGAGCUGACCCCACACAUUCCCCCCCCUUACAAAUCAACAUAAAUAGGACUGCAUGGCCAGACAGGACCUGUGACACUUGAAACAAAGGGACCCUGCUCGUGUGGUGUCACUCUGCUUCCGUGUGAUUGAUACAGGCCACAGCGGGGGCUUCAAACAACAACGGAUGUCCACUACCACCGGGGGCUGCAGUGAGACAUAGCUACUGGGAUUUCCAAUAGUACCCACUGCCCUCUGACAGACACCUGCUACGUGGACCACAGCUCCACAUCUCUCCAUCUAGAUUCUACGCUACAGCAUGGUCGUACUGCAGUGAAACACAAUGUCUGGUGAUACUGCAUAACUAAUCUAAUCAUAUAGAAAUGUUUUGCUGUUUUUAUACCAGUAUAUUAAAGUAUGCAUAUGCAAAAAUGUAUACGGUUUGUCAUGGCAUGAUGUACGCAAUUAGAUUAGAUUGUUAUUAGUAAGGAUGAUGAUUAUCUCAAUAAAUAAAGAUUUCCAUUAAAAAAUGUGUUUAAAAACAAUUAACGCGACAGGGUGUGUAUAUGGCUUAAUAUUGGUUUAGACCACUUGGUAAUUCAGAUAUAGCAACUGUCAGAUGUACUAUCAGACAACUAUUGAGAUAAAGAAAAUCUUGAAGUGACUUUAAAAUACUUCAAAUUAUUUAAGGCAAGCUUGAUUUAGCUUGGAGUAUGCACUCCAGUAUUCCAUUGGUUUUAUUGUGAACAUAAAUCAAUUGCACCUCGAGUACUUGAAUGUAUUUGACACAGGUCUGGAGAACUGUGACAACCAACCCAUGUCUCAGUUUCCCCUACAUUAUUGCCCAGCUCUAUGAAAAGCAGGAAGUGCAAAAUCGGAGCGUUGCAGAGAGUUUGUCUCACAACUAUUAAAGGAUAGUUCAUCUUUUCACAAGCAAACAUAAUUUCAACCCGCUUAACAUGAUCACACCUGGACGACAGUGCCUUCAAAAAGUAUUCACACCCCUUGACUUUUUCCACAUUUUGUGGUGUUACAGGCUGGAUUUAAAAUGGAGUAAACAUAGUUUUUUUUUUUUUUAUCACUGGCCUACACACAAUACCCCAUAAUGUCAAAGUGGAAA
Oncorhynchus mykiss (rainbow trout) is the source of this 2887-nucleotide non-coding RNA. NCBI's taxonomy places the organism in Eukaryota, Metazoa, Chordata, Actinopteri, Salmoniformes, Salmonidae. The record is from RefSeq and is a predicted model, not a curated record.